AAAGGCCCAGGCGACGACGGGUAGCCGGCCUGAGAGGGCGACCGGCCACACUGGGACUGAGACACGGCCCAGACUCCUACGGGAGGCAGCAGUGGGGAAUAUUGCACAAUGGGCGAAAGCCUGAUGCAGCGACGCCGCGUGAGGGAUGACGGCCUUCGGGUUGUAAACCUCUUUCAGCAGGGAAGAAGCGAAAGUGACGGUACCUGCAGAAGAAGCGCCGGCUAACUACGUGCCAGCAGCCGCGGUAAUACGUAGGGCGCAAGCGUUGUCCGGAAUUAUUGGGCGUAAAGAGCUCGUAGGCGGCUUGUCACGUCGGUUGUGAAAGCCCGGGGCUUAACCCCGGGUCUGCAGUCGAUACGGGCAGGCUAGAGUUCGGUAGGGGAGAUCGGAAUUCCUGGUGUAGCGGUGAAAUGCGCAGAUAUCAGGAGGAACACCGGUGGCGAAGGCGGAUCUCUGGGCCGAUACUGACGCUGAGGAGCGAAAGCGUGGGGAGCGAACAGGAUUAGAUACCCUGGUAGUCCACGCCGUAAACGGUGGGCACUAGGUGUGGGCAACAUUCCACGUUGUCCGUGCCGCAGCUAACGCAUUAAGUGCCCCGCUGGGGGAGAANNNNG
RNAcentral lists this ribosomal RNA (614 nucleotides) under Streptomyces sp. RNAcentral's name for it is "bacterial SSU rRNA". It matches the Rfam family "Bacterial small subunit ribosomal RNA", at positions 259 to 887 of the family's 1533-position model. Lineage: Bacteria; Bacillati; Actinomycetota; Actinomycetes; Kitasatosporales; Streptomycetaceae. The record is from RNAcentral.